UUAAAGAGAGCCCUAUUCAGUGUAACUGCUGUGGUAGUGGGUUUGGUCGCUCGCAUUUAAAUUGGAAGGGUAAUGGUGGACCGCACUUCUCCCUUAGUAGGACGUUGCGACCUGUCAAAUAAUAUCCUAAGUAUAUGGCUAAUUUGUCUGUUUUUAGGCAAUACCGCGAGGUAUUUCCUUUAACAGUUUUAGCCGUUUAUAUAUACUGGAUAUAAUUGACAGUAACGAAUCAUGGUGUUGAGCCACUUGAAAUUGUAUAUUUAUAUGUAUAAUGGAAAGUGUCCUUGUGGCUGUUUGCAAGUGGGUUGGUUAAUUAGUUUUAGUCGGAUUUUGGUCCGUCUAGCUAUUCCGCCUACUGUUGGUAAACUGUUCCUUGGACAGUGCUUACAACACCGGUCGGCAGCGAUUCAGGUUCAGGCUCUUAUCCGACCCGUCUUGAAACACGGACCAAGGAGUUUAGCGUGUACGCAAGUCAUUGGGUGUAUAAAACCCAAAGGCGC
Molecule: ribosomal RNA, 500 nt
Filed under: Meccus longipennis
Lineage: Eukaryota; Metazoa; Arthropoda; Insecta; Hemiptera; Reduviidae
Description: partial large subunit ribosomal RNA
Rfam family: Eukaryotic large subunit ribosomal RNA
Source: RNAcentral